Molecule: ribosomal RNA, 472 nt
Filed under: uncultured organism
Description: partial 16S ribosomal RNA
Rfam family: Bacterial small subunit ribosomal RNA
Source: RNAcentral
ACUCCUGCGGGAGGCAGCAGUGGGGAAUAUUGCACAAUGGGCGCAAGCCUGAUGCAGCCAUGCCGCGUGUAUGAAGAAGGCCUUCGGGUUGUAAAGUACUUUCAGCGGGGAGGAAGGCAAUACGGUUAAUAACCGUGUUGAUUGACGUUACCCGCAGAAGAAGCACCGGCUAACUCCGUGCCAGCAGCCGCGGUAAUACGGAGGGUGCAAGCGUUAAUCGGAAUUACUGGGCGUAAAGCGCACGCAGGCGGUCUGUCAAGUCGGAUGUGAAAUCCCCGGGCUCAACCUGGGAACUGCAUUCGAAACUGGCAGGCUUGAGUCUUGUAGAGGGGGGUAGAAUUCCAGGUGUAGCGGUGAAAUGCGUAGAGAUCUGGAGGAAUACCGGUGGCGAAGGCGGCCCCCUGGACAAAGACUGACGCUCAGGUGCGAAAGCGUGGGGAGCAAACAGGAUUAGAAACCCGGGUAGUCCCAU